Molecule: ribosomal RNA, 487 nt
Filed under: uncultured bacterium
Lineage: Bacteria
Description: partial 16S ribosomal RNA
Rfam family: Bacterial small subunit ribosomal RNA
Source: RNAcentral
GGACGAACGCUGGCGGCGUGCUUAACACAUGCAAGUCGAACGCUGAAGACCUGGCUUUUGUUGGGUUGGAUGAGUGGCGAACGGGUGAGUAACACGUGAGUAACCUGCCCUCUUCUUUGGGAUAACGCCCGGAAACGGGUGCUAAUACUGGAUAUUCACUGAUCUUCGCAUGGGGGUUGGUGGAAAGGUUUGUUCUGGUGGGGGAUGGGCUCGCGGCCUAUCAGCUUGUUGGUGGGGUGAUGGCCUACCAAGGCUUUGACGGGUAGCCGGCCUGAGAGGGUGACCGGUCACAUUGGGACUGAGAUACGGCCCAGACUCCUACGGGAGGCAGCAGUGGGGAAUAUUGCACAAUGGGCGAAAGCCUGAUGCAGCGACGCCGCGUGAGGGAUGGAGGCCUUCGGGUUGUAAACCUCUUUCGCUCAUGGUCAAGCCGCAACUGUGGGUUGUGGUGAGGGUAGUGGGUAAAGAAGCGCCGGCUAACUACGUG